GCAUACUGGCUACUGUGCUGGCUGGUGAAUGGCUCGGCUCGAGAGCCGAUGACGGACGUGCCAAGCGGCGAUACGCUCAGGGGAGCUGCAUGGAAGCGAAGAACCUGAGAUUUCCGAAUGGGAAUCCCACAACACUUGCAUCUAGCAAGGGGGAACGCUCUGAACUGAAACAUCUCAGUAAGAGCAGGAAGAGAACGCAAUUGCGAUGUCGUCAGUAACCGCGAGUGAACGCGACACAGUCCAAACCGAAUCCGACAGGAUAUGUGGUGUAUGGGCACACACAAUCGCGUGGCGGACCGAUCAGAACUCUCCUGGAACGGAGGGCGAGACAGGGUGACAGCCCCGUACGAUCUGUCCGACGCGUGAGGUGUGACCCGGAGUAGCGAGGGUUGGAUAUCCUUCGUGAAGGACGCAGGCAACGACUGCGAAGACUAAACACUCCUCGAGACCGAUAGCGCACACGUAGCGUGAGCGAACGAUGAAAAGCACCCCGCCUUUCUUGACCAGCACCGCCUGGCCGUACUUCCGGCCGUCCUCAGAGCCCUCCUCCCCAUCGGGGUCAUGUGGCCACUC
Molecule: ribosomal RNA, 573 nt
Filed under: Haloquadratum sp.
Lineage: Archaea; Methanobacteriati; Methanobacteriota; Halobacteria; Halobacteriales; Haloferacaceae
Description: partial 23S ribosomal RNA
Rfam family: Archaeal large subunit ribosomal RNA
Source: RNAcentral